This 468-nucleotide ribosomal RNA is filed under the name uncultured bacterium. RNAcentral describes it as "partial 16S ribosomal RNA". It matches the Rfam family "Bacterial small subunit ribosomal RNA", at positions 28 to 507 of the family's 1533-position model. The record is from RNAcentral.
GACGAACGCUGGCGGCGUGCUUAACACAUGCAAGUCGAACGGAAAGGCCCUGCUUUUGUGGGGUGCUCGAGUGGCGAACGGGUGAGUAACACGUGAGUAACCUGCCCUUGACUUUGGGAUAACUUCAGGAAACUGGGGCUAAUACCGGAUAGGAGCUCCUGCUGCAUGGUGGGGGUUGGAAAGUUUCGGCGGUUGGGGAUGGACUCGCGGCUUAUCAGCUUGUUGGUGGGGUAGUGGCUUACCAAGGCUUUGACGGGUAGCCGGCCUGAGAGGGUGACCGGCCACAUUGGGACUGAGAUACGGCGCAGACUCCUACAGGAGGCAGCAGUGGGGAAUAUUGCACAAUGGGCGGAAGCCUGAUGCAGCAACGCCGCGUGCGGGAUGACGGCCUUCGGGUUGUGAACCGCUUUCGCCUGUGACGAAGCGUGAGUGACGGUAAUGGGUAAAGAAGCACCGGCUAACUACGUG